UCGGGCCUGCUCAAUGAGUAUUAAAUAGCUGCAGUAUUUUGACUGUACAAAGGUAGCGUAAUCAUUAGUUUCUUUAUUAGAAACUUGUAUGAAUGGUUUAAUGAGAAAAAUACUGUCUUAAUUUAAUUUUAAAUGAAUUUUAUUUUUAAGUUAAAAAGCUUAAGUAAUUAUAAAAGACGAGAAGACCCUAUAGAGUUUAAUAAAUUAAUUUUUAUAUUUUUUUAGUAUAUUAUGAAUAUAAAUUUGAUAUUUAAUUUGUUGGGGUGAUAAGAAAAUUUAAUAAACUUUUCUAUAUAGAUUUCAUAUGUUUAUGUUUAUUUGAUCCGUUAUAACGAUUAAAAGAUAAAAUUACCUUAGGGAUAACAGCGUAAUUUUUUUGGAGAGUUCUAAUCGAUAAAAAAGAUUGCGACCUCGAUGUUGGAUUAAAAUUUAUUAUUGGCGCAGAAGUUGAUAUAUUAAGUCUGUUCGACUUUUAAAAUUUUACAUGAUCUGAGUUUAAACCGGUGUGAGCCAGGUUGGUUUCUAUCUUUAUAAAAAUAAUAUAUUUUAGUACGAAAGGACCACUUAUUAUUUAUAUUAAAUAAUUAUUUAGAAUACAAUUGUUAUUUUGGCAGAUUAGUGCAUUAAAUUUAGAAUUUAAACAUGUAUAUUUACAAAUAAUACUUGAUUUUUUUUGAUUAUAUUUUAAUUUUUAUUAGAAGACUAUUACUAAUAGUUUGUGUUCUUGUGGGGGUUG
RNAcentral lists this ribosomal RNA (736 nucleotides) under Anacaena suturalis. RNAcentral describes it as "partial 16S ribosomal RNA". The stretch from base 1 to 564 matches the Rfam family "Bacterial large subunit ribosomal RNA", at positions 1853 to 2925 of the family's 2925-position model. Lineage: Eukaryota; Metazoa; Arthropoda; Insecta; Coleoptera; Hydrophilidae. The record is from RNAcentral.